RNAcentral lists this ribosomal RNA (433 nucleotides) under uncultured bacterium. Its description in RNAcentral is "bacterial SSU rRNA". It matches the Rfam family "Bacterial small subunit ribosomal RNA", at positions 29 to 507 of the family's 1533-position model. The record is from RNAcentral.
AACGAACGCUGGCGGCAGGCCUAACACAUGCAAGUCGAGCGAACCCUUCGGGGUUAGCGGCGGACGGGUUAGUAACGCGUGGGAAUAUACCCUUUGGUACGGAAUAGCCUCGGGAAACUGAGAGUAAUACCGUAUGUGCCCUUCGGGGGAAAGAUUUAUCGCCAAAGGAUUAGCCCGCGUUGGAUUAGAUAGUUGGUGGGGUAAUGGCCUACCAAGUCUACGAUCCAUAGCUGGUUUGAGAGGAUGAUCAGCAACACUGGGACUGAGACACGGCCCAGACUCCUACGGGAGGCAGCAGUGGGGAAUCUUAGACAAUGGGCGCAAGCCUGAUCUAGCCAUGCCGCGUGGACGAUGAAGGCCUUAGGGUUGUAAAGUCCUUUCAGAUGGGAAGAUAAUGACGGUACCAUCAGAAGAGGCCCCGGCUAACUCCGUG